This 179-nucleotide ribosomal RNA is filed under the name uncultured bacterium. RNAcentral's name for it is "partial 16S ribosomal RNA". It matches the Rfam family "Bacterial small subunit ribosomal RNA", at positions 1322 to 1500 of the family's 1533-position model. The record is from RNAcentral.
GAAGCUGGAAUCGCUAGUAAUCGCAGAUCNGAAUGCUGCGGUGAAUACGUUCCCGGGUCUUGUACACACCGCCCGUCACACCAUGGGAGUUGGAAAUGCCCGAAGCCAGUGACCCAACCGUAAGGAGGGAGCUGUCGAAGGUGGAGCCGAUGACUGGGGUGAAGUCGUAACAAGGUAAC